Molecule: ribosomal RNA, 491 nt
Filed under: uncultured bacterium
Lineage: Bacteria
Description: partial 16S ribosomal RNA
Rfam family: Bacterial small subunit ribosomal RNA
Source: RNAcentral
AGUGAACGCUGGCGGUAGGCCUAACACAUGCAAGUCGAACGGCAGCACAGUAAGAGCUUGCUCUUACGGGUGGCGAGUGGCGGACGGGUAAGGAAUACAUCGGAAUCUACUUUUUCGUGGGGGAUAACGUAGGGAAACUUACGCUAAUACCGCAUACGACCUACGGGUGAAAGCAGGGGAUCUUCGGACCUUGCGCGAUUGAAUGAGCCGAUGUCGGAUUAGCUAGUUGGCGGGGUAAAGGCCCACCAAGGCGACGAUCCGUAGCUGGUCUGAGAGGAUGAUCAGCCACACUGGAACUGAGACACGGUCCAGACUCCUACGGGAGGCAGCAGUGGGAAUAUUGGACAAUGGGCGCAAGCCUGAUCCAGCCAUACCGCGUGGGUGAAGAAGGCCUUCGGGUUGUAAAGCCCUUUUGUUGGGAAAGAAAAGCAGCAGGUUAAUACCCCGCUGUUCUGACGGUACCCAAAGAAUAAGCACCGGCUAACUUCGUG